This 81-nucleotide non-coding RNA is filed under the name unclassified sequences. Its description in RNAcentral is "DUF3800-IX RNA". It matches the Rfam family "DUF3800-IX RNA". Rfam says of the family: Actinobacteria, Firmicutes (1 example), Nitrospirae, Proteobacteria, Verrucomicrobia (1 example). Nearby to DUF3800 The record is from Rfam by way of RNAcentral.
UCCUGUCUCGCGAAAAGUGGCCGACUGUGGCCGCCUGCCCCCAUCUACUCGUGAUGGAUCGGGCUAGCGAGGCGGGUUAUU